Coffea arabica (coffee) is the source of this 1499-nucleotide RNA transcript. It is a transcript of the gene named F-actin-capping protein subunit alpha, with no coding region annotated. NCBI's taxonomy places the organism in Eukaryota, Viridiplantae, Streptophyta, Magnoliopsida, Gentianales, Rubiaceae. The record is from RefSeq and is a predicted model, not a curated record.
CGGCAGGUCUAGUUACAGUACAGAUCAUCACAAAAUAUUAGAAUCUGGUAAUAAAUUCGGGAUCUGCACACACAGUGGAAGGUGUGACUGUGUGUGAAAAUUUACUACCCGAAAAAAAAGAAAGAAACAAAAAUGUCAGACGACGAUGAAGAAACGAGUACAGAGCCGGAAGAGCUGAGUCACAAGCAAAAACUAGAAAUUGCAAAAUGGUUCCUCAUCAAUUCUCCCCCUGGCGAAAUCCAAUACGUAGCCAAAGAUGUUAAAGCGGUUUUGAAAGAUGAAAAUGUAUAUGAAGCAGCGGCAGCGGAGGCAUUUCCUCUGUACAACAAAUCUCACAUGAUUUGCCUACAACUUCCUGACCGAAGUGGCGAUGUGAUGGUGACAUCGUUUAGUGAGAUUACUGAAGAUGAAUAUCUUGAUCCUAGGACUGCCCAAGUGGCUGUGGUUAACCAUGUUAAGCAAGCUUGCACAGAAGUUAGACCGGCAAGUGAUGAAGAACUGCCAUCUGCAUAUGUAGAGGAAUAUCGGUGCGCGGUGGAUGCAGAAAUUAGCAAGUAUGUUGGCGAAGCUUAUCCGAAAGGUGUAUGCUCAGUCUACUCUACCAAAGGAAAGCAUGUGGAAGAACCUGGAUCUAAUUUUGAGCUUGUUGUGGUGAUUUUAGCUUCUAGACAUAGUCCUCAAAAUUUCUGCAAUGGAAGUUGGCGGUCAAUAUGGAAUGUUGUGUUUGAGGAUGAGCUACAAAUUGUGGAACUGAGAGGCAGAAUGGAGGUAGGGGCCCACUAUUUUGAAGAGGGAAAUGUCCAAUUAGAUGCAAAACAUGAAUGCAAGGAUUCAACUGCAUUUCAGGUCAAGAGUAUGCUAAUUCGCCUGAUGAUUGUGCUGCUUCUGUGGUGAAUAUAAUUCGCCAUCAUGAGACGGAGUACCUCAAUUCUCUUCAGACAUCUUAUUUGAAUCUGCCUGAUACAACUUUCAAGGACCUUCGAAGAAAGCUUCCAGUUACUCGGACACUAUUCCCGUGGCACAACACUAUGCAGUUCAGCUUGACCAGAGAUAUAUCAAAAGAACUUGGCAUUGGAAAAUAGGAUAUGGUAUAAUCAGCAUCUAUUUUUGAGAUUUCAUCCAGCAGUGUUUUUGCUCUGCGUAUGUAGAUCCAAAAAUUUUCGUCCGAGACUGCAUACAACAUUCUUUAUUCCGUUUUUACAACCUUCUAAAAAUUUGAGAUUAUUGUGAGGAUUUAAGGAAAGGGUGCGGGGGCAGAAAUGCUGAAGAGCUAAAUACAGUUAUAGUUCCUUGAGCUGCAAUGGAAAAAUGCUGGAACCAGUCUGUUCUUCUUCCUGCAAAAUCAUCUUUGUCACAUGGUGCUCGUAAAUUUUUCUGCUUGUGUCUGAUCGUACCUAAUUCCAAAUGAUGAUGGGCAUCUUGUUGCCUCGAGUUUGUUUAUGUUUUUUCUUCUGUGAUGUGAUGGAAGUGAAAAUGGAACCAUCUCUCAUUUCUAGUUC